This 1312-nucleotide ribosomal RNA is filed under the name Pseudosagitta lyra. Its description in RNAcentral is "SSU rRNA". It matches the Rfam family "Eukaryotic small subunit ribosomal RNA", at positions 463 to 1700 of the family's 1831-position model. The record is from RNAcentral. Lineage: Eukaryota; Metazoa; Chaetognatha; Sagittoidea; Aphragmophora; Sagittidae.
GGUAGUGACGAUCAAUAACGAUGCGGGACUCUGACGAGGCUCCGCAAUCGGAAUGGGCGUAGUUUAAAUCCUUCGACGAGGAUCAAGUGGAGGGCAAGUCUGGUGCCAGCAGCCGCGGUAAUUCCAGCUCCACUAGCGUAUAUUAAAGUUGCUGCAGUUAAAAAGCUCGUAGUCGGAUCUCGGGAUCGUGUCGACGUUCUCGUGGCGUCUUCUGCGGUUCGCGCCGUCGGGAGUCGUUGCGGGUCGUUGGCCCUGCCGGCGAGGUCCCCGCCUGAUGGCGGGGCUCCACCUUGCUCGUGCAGCCCGCCGUCGCGUUUGGGCGGGUGUCUUUAAUUAGAUGCCCGUUUUUUGAACGUGGCCCGUUUACCUUGAACAAAUCGGAGUGCUCAAAGCAGGCUCUACGUCGCUCGAACGGUAGCGCAUGGAAUAAUGGAAGAGGACCGGCUUCCGCUUCUGUUGGUCUCACGGAGGCAGGUAAUGAUCAAGAGGGACGGACGGGGGCGGAGGUAUGGCCUGGCGAGAGGUGAAAUUCUUGGACCCUGGCCAGACCCUCGAGAGCGAAAGCAUCCGCCAAGGAUGUUUCCAUUGAUCAAGAACGAAAGUCGCGGGAUCGAACGGGAUUAGAUACCCCGGUAGUCGCGACCGUAAACGAUGCCAACCGGGAAUUUGGCGGCGUUACUUCCAUGACCCGUCAAGCGCCCGACCCGGGAAACCGAGAGUCUUUGGGUUCCGGGGGGAGUAUGGUUGCAAAGCUGAAACUUAAAGGAAUUGACGGAAGGGCACCACCAGGAGUGGAGCCUGCGGCUUAAUUUGACUCAACACGGGGAACCUCACCCGGCCCGGACACCGCGAGGAUUGACAGACUGAGAGCUCUUUCUCGAUUCGGUGGGUGGUGGUGCAUGGCCGUUCUUAGUUGGUGGAGCGAUCUGUCUGGUUAAUUCCGAUAACGAACGAGACCCCACCUGCUAACUAGCCCUCGGGUCCGGCUUCUGGCGGGCCCGACGGAAUGAUUCGCUUCUUAGAGGGACUCGCGGCGCCUAGCCGCACGAAGGGGGGCGAUAACAGGUCUGUGAUGCCCUUAGAUGUUCGGGGCUGCACGCGCGCUACACUGAAGGCAUCAGCGUGCGCUUUGUCCGUUCCCUGCCUGAAAAGGCUGGGUAACCCGCUGAACCGCCUUCGUGCCUGGGAUAGGGAUUUGCAAUUAUCUCCCUUGAACGAGGAAUUCCCAGUAGGCGCGAGUCAUCAGCUCGCGUCGAUUACGUCCCUGCCCUUUGUACACACCGCCCGUCGCUACUACCGAUCGAACGAUGUA